GACGAACGCUGGCGGCGCGCCUAACACAUGCAAGUCGAACGAGAGAUGAGGAGCUUGCUCUUCAAAUCGAGUGGCGAACGGGUGAGUAACGCGUGAGGAGCCUGCCUCAAAGAGGGGGACAACAGUUGGAAACGACUGCUAAUACCGCAUAAGCCCACGGCUCGGCAUCGAGCAGAGGGAAAAGGAGCAAUCCGCUUUGAGAUGGCCUCGCGUCCGAUUAGCUAGUUGGUGAGGUAACGGCCCACCAAGGCGACGAUCGGUAGCCGGACUGAGAGGUUGAACGGCCACAUUGGGACUGAGACACGGCCCAGACUCCUACGGGAGGCAGCAGUGGGGAAUAUUGCACAAUGGGGGAAACCCUGAUGCAGCGACGCCGCGUGGAGGAAGAAGGUCUUCGGAUUGUAAACUCCUGUUGUUGAGGAAGAUAAUGACGGUACUCAACAAGGAAGUGACGGCUAACUACGUGCCAGCAGCCGCGGUAAAACGUAGGUCACAAGCGUUGUCCGGAAUUACUGGGUGUAAAGGGAGCGCAGGCGGGAGAACAAGUUGGAAGUGAAAUCCAUGGGCUCAACCCAUGAACUGCUUUCAAAACUGUUUUCUUGAGUAGUGCAGAGGUAGGCGGAAUUCCCGGUGUAGCGGUGGAAUGCGUAGAUAUCGGGAGGAACACCAGUGGCGAAGGCGGCCUACUGGGCACCAACUGACGCUGAGGCUCGAAAGUGUGGGUAGCAAACAGGAUUAGAUACCCUGGUAGUCCACACCGUAAACGAUGAUUACUAGGUGUUGGAGGAUUGACCCCUUCAGUGCCGCAGUUAACACAAUAAGUAAUCCACCUGGGGAGUACGACCGCAAGGUUGAAACUCAAAGGAAUUGACGGGGGCCCGCACAAGCAGUGGAGUAUGUGGUUUAAUUCGACGCAACGCGAAGAACCUUACCAAGUCUUGACAUCCCUUGACGAUGCUGGAAACAGUAUUUCUCUUCGGAGCAAGGAGACAGGUGGUGCAUGGUUGUCGUCAGCUCGUGUCGUGAGAUGUUGGGUUAAGUCCCGCAACGAGCGCAACCCUUAUGGUCAGUUACUACGCAAGAGGACUCUGGCCAGACUGCCGUUGACAAAACGGAGGAAGGUGGGGAUGACGUCAAAUCAUCAUGCCCCUUAUGAUUUGGGCUACACACGUGCUACAAUGGCGUAAACAAAGAGAUGCGAGACCGCGAGGUUAAGCAGAGCUCAAAAAUAACGUCUCAGUUCGGAUUGUAGUCUGCAACUCGACUACAUGAAGCUGGAAUCGCUAGUAAUCGCAGAUCAGAAUGCUGCGGUGAAUACGUUCCCGGGUCU
Molecule: ribosomal RNA, 1330 nt
Filed under: uncultured bacterium
Lineage: Bacteria
Description: bacterial SSU rRNA
Rfam family: Bacterial small subunit ribosomal RNA
Source: RNAcentral